GUCUCCAGUGCCAACAGGGAUCUCCAGGGCAGCAGCAGGAAGUCCAGUCUAGCUGGCUCUGACCUCAGUGGCCAGCUGAGGAAAAUACCCUUCCUUCAAGAACGUGGGAUCUUUUCACCCGGUUGUGUGCGAGUGGACAUUGAAAUGGCUCACUUCUGGUCUUUCUAAUAUCUCUUGAUAUGAAGAGUGCAAAGACUGCUGGGAAAGAUGGGAACAUUUGCACAGGGGCUGAGAAUCAUGGGAAGAAAAGGGAAGAGACCCAGAACCUUUCCUUUCAAUGUUGGCCUGAAAACAUCUUGAGUAGAUUGAGAUCAUCACCAAAAGGCUGGGGACCAUGAUGGAGAGCUGAGUCUGGUGGAGUUGAAUUUGCCCACACUGGGCCCACAGGUUUGCUUCUACCUGGCAUGUCUUUUCAUUUCUUGUCCAUCCAGCAAACUUCUAUACAUCCUUCAAGACCCAGCUGAGUUAAGGCCUAUGGUGACCUUUGGUGACAUCUCCAGUAGAAUUAAACCCCAUCAUUCCUUCUGCUCUCAGCACUUGCGCAUACUUCAGUGGUGGUGCCUACACACCCUCUUCUGUGAACUCUUAACGGCUCACACAUCCUCCCGUCACCAUGCCUGUCACAUCCCUGCAGGAGUAGGAGGAGCCAUGAGGGUAGUUGGUAACUGCUGAGCACUCACUGCAUGUCAGGCACUGUGCUGUGUGUGUGAUGCGUGUCACCCCACUGGCCCUCACCACUUCCUAUGGGGUGUCACCACUUUACAGAUGAGGGGACAGACAGGUGUACAGACCCAUCGCUACCUGACUCUGGAGGCUGCAUUCUCAACCUCCCUCAUUUUGCUUGUGAACCCCAG
Molecule: long non-coding RNA, 854 nt
Filed under: Homo sapiens (human)
Lineage: Eukaryota; Metazoa; Chordata; Mammalia; Primates; Hominidae
Description: HSALNT0264870
Source: RNAcentral